CCCAACCUUCUUUAAUGAAGAUGCCUUCGAUAAGGGCCAAGUAUGCCAAACUCCGUGGCGGAUCGGA
RNAcentral lists this transfer RNA (67 nucleotides) under Boodlea composita. Its description in RNAcentral is "tRNA-Ile". Lineage: Eukaryota; Viridiplantae; Chlorophyta; Ulvophyceae; Cladophorales; Boodleaceae. The record is from RNAcentral.